ACCGUCCUCGAACUUGUCAGGUGUGAGCCCGGGUGUGGCCACCUGAACCGCGAGCCGCCUCACCUUGUCUGUUCUGCUGGACUCUGACUCUGGACAGAGCAAUUCUACUUAAGACAGCAUUUGCCAUCACAAUUAUUACAAACAAUAGGAUUCUUUCACGUGCAAGUGGCAGAAACUCAUCCCAAAGUGCUUAAGCCUCAAAGGGGACUCAGCUUAGGUCCUUUAUGAGACUAAGACCGAGGCUUCAGGAUCAAGCCAGGAUCCGACAGCUGGAUCAAGGGUACAGAUACCAGGAUUUUGUUUCUGGCUGUCUUUCACCUUUACCGCUUCCUCUACAGGGGAAGAUACCUUAGCUCUCACAGCAUCUCCAAAAGGGAUGCAGUGGCUGUUGGCACCCCCAGAUUAUAGGAUUCUUGGUGCUUGUGAUUGAUUUCAGCAGGAGAGAAGUCCCCUGUUUCUUAGUGUCUAUAUUUGUCUGUGGAAGGGGGCUGGGCCUGGGCCGGCUGGGGUCUCAUGCCCACCGCUAUACUGAGGGGUUGAAGGUCAUUCCCAUGUUGAGGAGGGCAGUUCCCAGAAGGCAAGAGAAGGGGGCCAGAGAUGCUGAGUGAACCAACUGGGUUCACUGCAGGGUGUUUGGAGACCAGCCUCCCACAGGGAACGAGUUACAGGGGCAUCUGCUGAGAGCUCGGAGACAGGGACCAGCGGAGAUGGAGGAAGAAUAUUGAAAGAAAGAAAAAAAAAGAGCCUCUAAAAACCCCACACACCAACAACCUCAGAACUCUGGCUCUGAAACUUGGAAAUGUUACCUAAAUUCUGACAAGAAAGGGCUUGUACAUCUCUUUGUGUUCAGAAUCGGCUGCUGGAGAACACAGAGCUUUCUCGAGGCUGUGCCCUGCAGAUUCAUUUCGGAUUUGACAUUUAAAAGAAUGUUCCACCCACGGCUUUUCUUUGCGAGACGAGAGUAUCUGUGAACUUAAUAUUCAGGUGGUUAAAUAGAUUGCUUGGAGAAAAUGAUCCCCUCUGAAAUGCUGUCCCCUGGCACUUUGCUUUUUGUUUUGUUUUGUUUUCUUUAGGAGAACUGUGAGGGAAAGAAAGCAAAAUGCAGAAAUCCUCUCUGACAUCCUCACUGCCCACGAUGUUCCCAGCUCAGAUGAGGCAUGGAAAGACCGAGUCUCGAAGGAUGGAUACCUUCCCCAAGGAAUGUAUCGGAGCCACCAGCGGCAGAGUUGGAAUUCGACUCCAGAACACCUGGCCCCCUCCUCCUGACCACCCCACCCGCUACCCGCCUUCAGACACCCGGGAGGCCCCUCUCCUCCCAGAAGCUGCUCUCCCUGAAUCACCGGUGAGCGGGGUUUGCCCGAAGUAAUUGAUUGAACGUUACCCAGAAGCGGAAGCCAACCAAAGAGAGACGACCGCGUGCUGUCCUUUCCAGAAAACCCAGCCCUGUCCGUCCCUGGCUCUCACUUCCCGGCACCCUCACUUGCGCAGCUCAGAAACGGUAAGCAGCAUGUUCCUCUUCCAAACAUACUUUGGCGAAAUAUGCAUGGCUCUGAAAACAAGGCCUGGCCACCUCCCGGGUGGAGCCCUGCGGAACUUGUCUCCUUGGUCUCCUAUUCUUGAUAACCUGACUCGGCCGCCUGCCCAGGUACAGAUUCCCUGCCCUGGGCGUGUGGCCGGUUCUCUGAGCUCCAUGCCUGCUGGGGACGAGGGGGGAAGAGCAUGCUGUCACCACAAGCUCAGGAGGGAAGGCACACGGUCCCCCAGGCCAGUGGCCGCGGCAGGAUGUCUUUCCCGGGUGACUCACCCAGACUCACAUGGGUCCCACGGUCCCUGGGCGCCAGCUGGGCCCAGAUGGCCAAGAGGGGAGGCAGGGUCUUUCCACAGCUUUGCUCAGGAUUGAUGCUCAAGCCCCAGCUGAGGGACAGGGCGUCCUCGUCAGAAGGCUUGGCAGAGGCUCUCUUUACAAAGGGACUUACCCACGAUUGCGGAAUGGAUGUGGCCUGACAUUAAGAUGUUUUAUGACCCUGAUUAAGCAGGAGCGGGGAGCUGGAGAGAGGUGGUGAUUAAUCCUCCCACGGAGGAGCUGGCCCCCAUCAUCCCCACUAGACAGAGAGGCUGGACAGCAGGGGAUGAUUGCCGCUCCCCAAAGAGAAGAAGCCCAGUUUCCACCCGGGGUGUGGGGGGUGAGCCUCGGGCCUGCUGGGCGGGCGCUUUGCGUGUGUUCCCGGGUGGCCCGUGUAUGGGCCCUCAGAGGGUCAGACACCUUGUGUAAGACAGAGGACGCCUGUGCCCUGGGACGGCGGUCCCUGAGGGGUCCUGGAUGCCCCCUUUGAGACAGAUGCGAGGAGGCAUCCCAGGAGGACAGAGCCCAUGACGUUCCUCAGGGUCUCUGGUGUGGGCCCCACGAGAAGGCUCUUUGACAGCCAGGCCCCGAGCAAGUCCCUGCUUCUUGCAGGAAGAGUGUUUCCUUCCUGGCCUUGUUCCCCUCUCUGCUUGGCCCAGAAAGCUCAGGACUAAAUUUGGGAGUCGUGUUGUGAGUUCUUGAAUUCCCAUAACGUACACAGGGCAUUCUGGCCCCUCCUCGCCCACCUUUCCAUCUUAGCUCCGUGCUCUGAUCGCUCAGGCAUUCGUGUUUCUGGUUUUCGUCGUAGGGCACACACCUCUGGGUACAUCUCCCAUCCUCAUGGAAUGAGGUCAAGGGUAAUAAUGGGCUUCUCUGUCUGUCUGUCCUUCCUGGCUGGGGAUGCCUCUGGUGUGCCCAUGCACGGGACUGUCCAUAUCCUCAGAGGAAACCCUCUCACCGAUCCCUCCAGAAGGAGAAAAAGAGGGGUCAGGCACUGGACAUGAAGUUACAGAGACAACCCACGUGCCCACAGGGCCUGGUAAAUGGGAUCUUUGUACACAAG
Molecule: long non-coding RNA, 2906 nt
Organism: Leopardus geoffroyi (Geoffroy's cat)
Lineage: Eukaryota; Metazoa; Chordata; Mammalia; Carnivora; Felidae
Exons: 3
Source: RefSeq, a predicted model, not a curated record